This 505-nucleotide ribosomal RNA is filed under the name uncultured bacterium. RNAcentral describes it as "bacterial SSU rRNA". It matches the Rfam family "Bacterial small subunit ribosomal RNA", at positions 791 to 1300 of the family's 1533-position model. The record is from RNAcentral.
UAGUCCACGCCGUAAACGAUGAUUACUCGUUGCUGGCGAUACACAGUCAGUGACCAAGCGAAAGUGAUAAGUAAUCCACCUGGGGAGUACGAUCGCAAGAUUGAAACUCAAAGGAAUUGACGGGGGCCCGCACAAGCAGUGGAGCAUGUGGUUUAAUUCGAUGAUACGCGAGGAACCUUACCAGGGCUUAAAUGUACUUUGACCGCUCGAGAAAUCGAGUUUCUUUUCGAAGCAGAGUACAAGGUGCUGCAUGGUUGUCGUCAGCUCGUGCCGUGAGGUGUCGGGUUAAGUCCCAUAACGAGCGCAACCCCUAUCUUUAGUUGCCAGCGAGUAAUGUCGGGGACUCUAAAGAAACUGCCCGCGCAAGCGUGGAGGAAGGUGGGGAUGACGUCAAAUCAUCACGGCCCUUACGUCCUGGGCCACACACGUGCUACAAUGGUAGAUACAGAGGGCAGCCACUUGGUGACAAGGAGCGAAUCUCUAAAGUCUAUCUCAGUUCGGAUUG